CAUGUACCAGGCCACAAGGAGGAAGAUGCUGGGGGUCUCAGUUGGCUUGCUGCUUCUGGCAGGUCUCUGCUGUGGGGUUACUGUGAGACAGGAGCCGUUCAAAAUUGUCCAGGCCGGGAUCCAGACAAGCAUCAACUGCGAACAUGACGAUUCUUCAUUCUUAACCAUCCUGUGGUAUCGGCAGGAGAGCAACAGUAUGCAGAAGCAGCUGCAGCUUGUCGGCUACUCUGUUGAGGGAAAUGAUCCAAAUAUGGAGAUGACGAACUACACGAUAAAGAGACCAGAUGUGAAACAUGCGUCGCUGACCACUCCUCCAGGACAGGCUGGAGACUCUGCAGUGUAUUUCUGUGCAACCAGUAAAGGCACAGCGAGAGCUCCCUGUCUCACAGCUGCACACGAACUGCGCUGGACUCCCCCCAUCCUCAGCUAG
Molecule: non-coding RNA, 430 nt
Organism: Varanus komodoensis (Komodo dragon)
Lineage: Eukaryota; Metazoa; Chordata; Lepidosauria; Squamata; Varanidae
Source: the annotation of a RefSeq genome assembly